This 825-nucleotide ribosomal RNA is filed under the name uncultured bacterium. RNAcentral's name for it is "bacterial SSU rRNA". It matches the Rfam family "Bacterial small subunit ribosomal RNA", at positions 60 to 898 of the family's 1533-position model. The record is from RNAcentral.
AGUCGAACGGAAGUUAGAGCUUCGGUUUUAACUUUAGUGGCGAACGGGUGAGUAACGCGUGAGGAACCUGCCUUUCAGUGGGGGACAACAGUUGGAAACGACUGCUAAUACCGCAUGAUGCUUUUGGGAGACACCUCCUGGAAGCCAAAGCUUUAUGUGCUGAAAGAUGGCCUCGCGUCUGAUUAGCUAGUUGGUGAGGUAACGGCUCACCAAGGCGACGAUCAGUAGCCGGUCUGGGAGGAUGAACGGCCACAUUGGGACUGAGAUACGGCCCAGACUCCUACGGGAGGCAGCAGUGGGGAAUAUUGGGCAAUGGGGGAAACCCUGACCCAGCAACGCCGCGUGAAGGAAGAAGGCCUUCGGGUUGUAAACUUCUUUUACCAGGGACGAAGGACGUGACGGUACCUGGAGAAAAAGCAACGGCUAACUACGUGCCAGCAGCCGCGGUAAUACGUAGGUUGCAAGCGUUGUCCGGAUUUACUGGGUGUAAAGGGCGUGUAGGCGGAGAUGCAAGUUGGGAGUGAAAUCCAUGGGCUCAACCCAUGAACUGCUCUCAAAACUGUAUCCCUUGAGUAUCGGAGAGGCAAGCGGAAUUCCUAGUGUAGCGGUGAAAUGCGUAGAUAUUAGGAGGAACACCAGUGGCGAAGGCGGCUUGCUGGACGACAACUGACGCUGAGGCGCGAAAGCGUGGGGAGCAAACAGGAUUAGAUACCCUGGUAGUCCACGCUGUAAACGAUGAAUACUAGGUGUGGGAGGACUGACCCCUUCCGUGCCGCAGUUAACACAAUAAGUAUUCCACCUGGGGAGUACGACCGCAAGGUUGAA